CCUACGGGGCGCAGCAGUCGAGAAUCAUUCACAAUGGGGGAAACCCUGAUGGUGCGACGCCGCGUGGGGGAAUGAAGGUCUUCGGAUUGUAAACCCCUGUCAUGUGGGAGCAAAUUAAAAAGAUAGUACCCCAAGAGGAAGAGACGGCUAACUCUGUGCCAGCAGCCGCGGUAAUACAGAGGUCUCAAGCGUUGUUCGGAAUCACUGGGCGUAAAGCGUGCGUAGGCUGUUUCGUAAGUCGUGUGUGAAAGGCGCGGGCUCAACCCGCGGACGGCACAUGAUACUGCGAGACUAGAGUAAUGGAGGGGGAACCGGAAUUCGCGGUGUAGCAGUGAAAUGCGUAGAUAUCGAGAGGAACACUCGUGGCGAAGGCGGGUUCCUGGACAUUAACUGACGCUGAGGCACGAAGGCCAGGGGAGCGAAAGGGAUUAGAUACCCUUGUAGUC
RNAcentral lists this ribosomal RNA (446 nucleotides) under uncultured bacterium. RNAcentral's name for it is "partial 16S ribosomal RNA". It matches the Rfam family "Bacterial small subunit ribosomal RNA", at positions 338 to 795 of the family's 1533-position model. The record is from RNAcentral.